UGCACUCACGUUGGACACAAGUCUCUAAGUGU
This 32-nucleotide non-coding RNA is filed under the name Rattus norvegicus (Norway rat). The record is from RNAcentral. Lineage: Eukaryota; Metazoa; Chordata; Mammalia; Rodentia; Muridae.